RNAcentral lists this ribosomal RNA (484 nucleotides) under uncultured bacterium. Its description in RNAcentral is "partial 16S ribosomal RNA". It matches the Rfam family "Bacterial small subunit ribosomal RNA", at positions 28 to 523 of the family's 1533-position model. The record is from RNAcentral.
GACGAACGCUGGCGGCGUGCUUAACACAUGCAAGUCGAACGAUGAAGCCGGAGCUUGCUCUGGUGAAUUAGUGGCGAACGGGUGAGUAACACGUGAGUAACCUGCCCUUGGCUCUGGGAUAACUGCGGGAAACUGUAGCUAAUACCGGAUACGACCCUCGGAGGCAUCUCCUGGGGGUGGAAAGAAUUUCGGUCAAGGAUGGACUCGCGGCCUAUCAGCUAGUUGGUGAGGUAAAGGCUCACCAAGGCGACGACGGGUAGCCGGCCUGAGAGGGUGACCGGCCACACUGGGACUGAGACACGGCCCAGGCUCCUACGGGAGGCAGCAGUGGGGAAUAUUGCACAAUGGGCGCAAGCCUGAUGCAGCAACGCCGCGUGAGGGAUGACGGCCUUCGGGUUGUAAACCUCUUUUAGCAGGGAAGAAGCGAAAGUGACGGUACCUGCAGAAAAAGCACCGGCUAACUACGUGCCAGCAGCCGCGGUAA